RNAcentral lists this transfer RNA (77 nucleotides) under Bacteroidetes/Chlorobi group bacterium ChocPot_Mid. RNAcentral's name for it is "tRNA-Lys". It matches the Rfam family "tRNA". From Rfam's summary of the family: Transfer RNA (tRNA) molecules are approximately 80 nucleotides in length. Lineage: Bacteria; Pseudomonadati. The record is from RNAcentral.
GCUCCCUUAGCUCAGUUGGCCAGAGCAAUUGACUCUUAAUCAAUGGGCCGGGGGUUCGAAUCCCCCAGGGAGCACCA